UGGGAGGUUUCUUAUGUGUGAUUUAUUUGGUUAUCAUGUUAUUUUUAGGGUUCGGAUUGCAUUUUUCACAUAAAAGAAUAAUUAACCUUCUUUUGUGAUAUCAAUUAUUGAAUUUUGUUUUGCACAACUUUUGAAAUAUUCAUUUUAUGAUCUAUGUUGCAGAUUGAAGAAAAAGAUCAGAAUACUGUAAGUCGUAUAAAAUAUGAUUAAAUGGUUGAUAUCAUAAAAGAAGAUGAAUCAUACAGAAGAUACCUGUUAUCCAAUGGUUACUAGCACA
Molecule: long non-coding RNA, 277 nt
Filed under: Elaeis guineensis (African oil palm)
Lineage: Eukaryota; Viridiplantae; Streptophyta; Magnoliopsida; Arecales; Arecaceae
Description: long non-coding RNA (EGUI_LNC041336)
Source: RNAcentral